RNAcentral lists this ribosomal RNA (393 nucleotides) under uncultured bacterium. RNAcentral describes it as "bacterial SSU rRNA". It matches the Rfam family "Bacterial small subunit ribosomal RNA", at positions 96 to 524 of the family's 1533-position model. The record is from RNAcentral.
UGGCGCACGGGUGAGUAACGCGUGGGUAUCUACCUCGGGGUGGGGAAUAACCGCUGGAAACGGCGGCUAAUACCGCAUACGCCUUCAGAGGGAAAGCUCCGGCGCCCUGAGAGGAGCCCGCGUUGGAUUAGCUUGUUGGUGGGGUAAUGGCCUACCAAGGCUACGAUCUAUAGCUGGUCUGAGAGGAUGAUCAGCCACACUGGGACUGAGACACGGCCCAGACUUCUACGGGAGGCAGCAGUGGGGAAUAUUGGACAAUGGGCGCAAGCCUGAUCCAGCCAUGCCGCGUGAGUGAAGAAGGCCUUAGGGUUGUAAAGCUCUUUCACCUGCGAAGAUGAUGACGGUAGCAGGAGAAGAAGCCCCGGCUAACUCCGUGCCAGCAGCCGCGGUAAU